ACUUGGUACACACAGGAAUGAACCCAGGGAAGAUGGGAGCGGGCAGUCAUCGGCGGAGACGUAGGCCGUACAGAUCACAGUCUGGGAAUUAAGGUCUUGGCUUGUCUUGUGCCACUUCCACCUGUGCUGCAAACACUGAACAGCACUGACACCCCAUCUACAAUCCCGCUGCCAAGAGCAGGCAUGUGUGACAGAGGACUUGGGAAUCUCAGCCUGAACAUUGCCACCUCAUCUUUUAUGUAUGAAAUCAAAGAAAGCCAUUGGCUUCAUUUCUGCUGACAAGAUGGAGGCUGGAAAAACCUUGGCUGCAGAUACUUAGAGCCCAUGGAAACAGAGAUCGUAUACUUCAGUCUCGCCAGCUCAGAAGGUGGAGAGGAACCAUGCCCAGAAGUCAUACUGAGUGGGUUGCACCUAAGCCAUCAUCUGGCACACUGGUUCAGACACUACCUGGGAGACCUGGGAUUUGAGUUGAUGUUUUAAUAAGAGGGAACUUUGGGAGACCUUGACAUGGGAUGAAUGAAACCUGCAUUUGCAAAAUAUAUGAAUUUGGGGGCAAGAGGAAAGCCCAUGGCAGGCAGAACCCCCUCCAAAGAAUAGCAAAUGCUUCUUCAGCCUUGGGACUUACCGUCAGAAAGGU
This is a non-coding RNA of Cricetulus griseus (Chinese hamster), 637 nucleotides long. NCBI's taxonomy places the organism in Eukaryota, Metazoa, Chordata, Mammalia, Rodentia, Cricetidae. The record is from RefSeq and is a predicted model, not a curated record.